UGACGAUUGCAGCCCUGUUGAUUUUCAUAUGAGAAUAAUAACAACAUUGAAAAUAGGUGAAAUUGAAAGAAGUAAACAAAUACAAUGGAAUCUUGUCGUAUUUGCAUGGGUAAAACAGAUGUCGAGGUGGAUCUGUUUACAAAACAGCCCUUGUAUCAUAUGGAAAUGACGCUGUUGGACAUGAUAAACGAGAUGGUCGAUUUGGAUAUACAGUGCGACAAACUUCCUCGAAAAAUCUGCACAACGUGCGUUUCGGAUGCUCAAGUCGCCUUUCGAUUCAAACGAAAUUGCGAGCGCAGUUACAGUGUUCUCAAAGCUCUAAUUAGAGACGAGGACUCAAAUGAUGGAGGAGAAGCCAACAGCGAUGCUCCACACAAUCAAGCAGACGUCUUGGACGAUAAGGAAUGGAAUCCAUCAUCGUAUAAUACAGACAUAAUCGUCAAAACAGAACCUAGCUUGGAGCUUUAUGUCGUCAAUGAAAUUGUAAACGAUGCACCUGACUGGGAAAAUGACUUUGUGGAAGACAAUCAAAGAGAUUUAUCGCUACAAGAUCGAAAUGUAAUUGUAAAAAUGGAGGAAGAUGCUGUGAUUAACAUUUCAGACGACGAAGAUGAAUGUAGCCUCAAUUUGCCCAACGUUGAAUUGUUUGGUAAAUGGCUAGAAGGAAUUGGGAAAAGCGAAAGGAAAGAUGCACUUUUUCAAUUUAUAAAAGCGGCUAUACCAGAAGAGGAGCAGAAUGAUAUUGUUAAAAGUACAACCAAAAAAGUUUUCUCCCGCAUAAAUUCAAUGUGGACGUCCUGCCAUAGAAAUUCAAAACACGUCCAGAGCAAGUAUGGUGCUUGGAUGAAUAGACAAACGAUCAUUAAAAUAAAGCGACAGAAAAAAAAGACUUUUCCUUCAAAAGUAUUCAAUUUAUUAGAAUGCCCAUUAAAUUCGAAAGAAGAUAUGGAGAAUGAGAGCAGCUUUUUGAAAACUGAUUUACUUCGGGAUUCUAUUAAUUUGAAAAACGAAGAAGUUUUAUAGGGCUGCAGCAGGACGAAAUAUGUAGUAAACACUUUGUAACGAAAGACUGCCGAAACACAAUAUUGGCAAAAGAAAUUAACUUUUUGUAUAACCCAAUUCUUCUAAUCUGUUGGGAUUAACAAUAAAAACGAAUGUAGCCUCAAUUUGCCCAACGUUGAAUUGUUUGAUAUAUGGCAAGAAGCAAUUGGGAAAAGCGCAAGGAAGGAUGCAAUUUGGAAAUUUAUAAAAGCGGCUAUACCAGAAGAGGAGCAGAAUGAUAUUGUUAAAAGUACAACCAAAAAAGUUUUCUACCGCAUAAAUUCAAUGUGGACGUCCUGCCAUGGAAAUUUACAACAAUUCCAUCGCAAGCAUGGAGUUUGGAUGAAUAACCAAACGAUCAUCAGAAUAAAGCGACAGAAAAAAUAGACUUUACCUUUAGAAGUAAUCAGUUUAUUAGAAUGCUCAUUAAAUUCGAAAGAAGUUAUAGAGACUGAGAGCAGGUUUUUAAAUACUGAUCUACUUCGGGAUUCUAUUAAUUUGAAAAACGAAGAAGUUUUAUAGGGCUGCAGCAGGACGAAAUGGGUAGCAAACGCUUUGUAACGAAAGAUUACCGAAACAAGCAAAUGCGGAGAAUACGCAACAUUGGCAAACGUAAUUAACUUUUCUAAUCUAUGCGGAUUAACAAUAAAAACAGUAACUG
Drosophila nasuta is the source of this 1702-nucleotide RNA transcript. It is a transcript of the gene named zinc finger protein kipf-like, with no coding region annotated. The record is from RefSeq and is a predicted model, not a curated record. The transcript is spliced from 5 exons. Lineage: Eukaryota; Metazoa; Arthropoda; Insecta; Diptera; Drosophilidae.